UAUUCCCGAACACACUUCACGGUGAAAACGAAAUGAAAUAUAUUUGUGAUAACAACGGUACGGUGUCGACAUCUGGAUACGAAAUUAGUUUUCCAUUAAUACUUAUCAUUAUAAUAGGAGUACCGCCGAUGAGAAGUGCCAAACUACAAGCUGCGCUGACCAAGCGCAGGGAAGCAGAGCAGAUUAAGUUUCAGAAAUCGGCAGCCGUAGAGCGUUAUUACGAUCACUGGGGUCGUGUCACAUCCCGCCUGGAAUCAUGGAACUCUCCCCAAUUCAAUCGACAAGCUGAAGAGGCUCAGCGGAAGCGCGAAGAAGCUGAGCGCAAAGAAGCCGAACAAAACGAACGUCGCGAGCAAACUAGAGCUAGGCUGCAACAGGAGAAAGAUGAUUUUCAGCGUGAAAUAAAGGAAAAAUCACACCCAAAACCGAAACCCAUCCCAACGGAACUUCUUGAAGGCGUCCGGGCACGCUUGAACGACACCGAAGAGGCCAAACGGCGAAUAGACCUCGAGGCCCGUCUCUACACCAAGUGGCGAAUGGGGUACGAUCGCGAUGGGAUCAUAUUGGAUUCGAAGAAUCCAAACCAGGCAAUGGCGAAGCUGAAUUGGCUCGAUCGACAGGUUGAUUUGCAGAUGCAAAGUGAAAACGAGCGCAAAGAAAACCAAGAACGCGAGAUUCGCCUACACGAGGAAGCACGGCGUCACGAGGAGCUACUGUUGGAGAAAAAUAAACUAAGGGAGCAGCAAAUAAAAGAACUGAGAAGCUACCAGGAGACUAACAUGAAGGAACUGAAAACGCGCGAGCAGGAAGUGAACGAGUUGAAAUUCUACGAGAUGCGUCUGCGGACAAAAAAAGAUGAGUUCGAAAAAGAGUUGGAGCAGUUGCGAGUGUAUAACGAGAGGCGUCGCGAUCGCGUUGUGGCUCUGCAUAACCUAAGACGUAUAAAAAUGCUGCUGCGUGAUCGAUCGGAGGCUGUUCGCAAUGACCUCAAGCAUGAUCUUCAACUACUGCAAAGAAUCGCCAUCGAUAACCCGGAGUCUAACGAGAGUAUCGAUUAUCUCCGUAAGAAAUUCCAACUGCAGUACAAUCUGGAAGUUGAGCAGCAAAUGACAAUAGAAAACAUGUAUGAGUCUGAAGCAAAGCACAAUCUUUCAAAGUGGGAAGACAAGUGGAACCAAGAAGCACUGGUGAGGGAACACCAACUUCGUUGUUUGCUGGAGGAUCGCAUCUUGGAUUUCGAGACCAAAUUGAUCGACUGUACCCAGCGUCAGCAAGAUCUGAUCGAUAUACGCGAAACACACAUCAAAGCGAUAGAAAGUGCGAAUGAGCAGCUGAAAGAAUUGAUGAGCGCUAAGUCAACCGAUUCUAGCGUAGUCAAUUCUGCCAACCAGGUUCGUGAUCUACUUGUCAAUCAGGAUUUGCCGAGAACCGCUGAGAGUCGACCAUCUACUCAGAACUCGUAUCGCAGCUCAACAUUCAGCAGUAUUUUUCCCUUUGUCGACCUGGAAGAUUUGACUGUGAAUGAGAGGAAGAAGGAUACGGACCAAAAUGAACAGGCAUCGGUUUUAUCGGUCCCUCGCUUCGGUGGAAGGAAACGGUAGCAUGAACACAACAAGCACUUUGAUUGUUAAAAAAUUAAAGUUCUGUUCGCCUACAAAAAAGGAACAAUUUGAUGCAGCGAAACUGAUUGAGGCUUUUGUUUGAUCUAAUUGAUUCCAGAUGUCACGGAAUUACAAAACGAGGAUGGGCAGACAACGUCGGAAGAAGGAGGAGUUUGAAAUAGCAACGCAGGCUAUCAAGAUCAGAUUUUCUUUGACCAAGCAUCGAAAGGGUUUGAAAAUGCUCGAACAACAGUGAAAAGAUUCAUGCAGAAUUCGAGAUGGUGUCAAUCCAAUUUUUCUGGUCUGGAAUCUGGCCAAGACACCUGGUAUCGAUCCCAAAAUACUGUUACUGAUUGUAACAUUAUCCCAAAGUACUUUACAUAAACAUCAGUAUGUUUUUUCGAUGAAACACACACUGGACCAACUCACCCCACAGGCGGUCCAAAUCACCCCGCAUCAAAUUUUAAUGUCCAAAAAUCAUCUCUUUUAUUUCAUGAUAUAUUUGGUAGUUUGAAGCUUGAUAUAAUGAUUAAACAUUAUUGAUUGAGAGAA
Molecule: RNA transcript, 2153 nt
Organism: Toxorhynchites rutilus septentrionalis
Lineage: Eukaryota; Metazoa; Arthropoda; Insecta; Diptera; Culicidae
Gene name: trichohyalin
Exons: 6
Source: RefSeq, a predicted model, not a curated record